Orcinus orca (killer whale) is the source of this 3651-nucleotide long non-coding RNA. RefSeq lists it as uncharacterized. The record is from RefSeq and is a predicted model, not a curated record. NCBI's taxonomy places the organism in Eukaryota, Metazoa, Chordata, Mammalia, Artiodactyla, Delphinidae. The transcript is spliced from 3 exons.
GCUCUAGCAACAGUAUUGCUUCAAAGAACUAUUAUCAUCACUAUUGUUAUCAUUACUAUUUUGCAGUUCUGUUCUUUUCUUAGCACUGAUCCCACCAGGAUUAUGCAGCCAAAUACCCCACCCAUUCUGGACAAGCUGAUUCAAAGUACGUGAGUGGUUUAGCAACCCCGUCUGCUGCAGCAGGAACGAGGAUAUAUUCAAAGAAACAGAAUCGCCAAUAAAUCAUUCGGGAACAAUUGAAUUCCCUAUAUAUAGAACUACAUUGAAAAGGGUUGAAUAUACCAUAUACAUACACACUAAAUAUAUGAAAUUCGUCUACACACAAAAACAUGCAUUAAGUCAACACAGUAACACAAACACUUCAAAAUAAUCAUAAGUCUGUCUUAUAGCAUUUCAAGUUAAUUAGAAGCAAUCCAAUAAAAAGAAGCUGAGACUGGACAAGCGUUAUGAAGGGGCAGUUCACAAAGAACGGCUCUCAAACGGCAGAUACAAUAGUAAAAAGUUGCUCAAUUUCAUUAUACACAGAAUAUUAGACAUUAAGAUUGUAAUGAGCCAACAUUUUCUCUUGUUGACAUAAAUGAACCCCUUAAAAAUAGUAAUUGUUGGUGAUAGAGUAAAGGGAAAACAUGGGUAUUUUUGCCUGUGGUGUAAAUUGGAAUAUCACUUUGAAGGACAAUUUGGAAGAAGGCAGUAGAGCUGAAACUGGACAUAUCCUAAAACUCGACAGCUAUCAUCCUAGCAUCUACCUUAGAACCACGCUGGGAAGGAUGAGUGUGCCCAGGAAUCCAGGGCUGUUUGUUGGAGCAAUAAGAACAAAAAAGUAAAAAAGUAAGUGAUCAGCUAGUAAAGGGUUGGCCACUCUGCAGAUGCGUAAAUACAACGUGGUGCAUUGAUGUGCUGGAGCGUUAGACGUGUAGCAAAGCAAGACAGGCCACACACACGCACACACACACACACACACACCUUUUUCUGGGGAAAAAUAAGUAGAAUAAAAGAGUUGAGGUAACAUAGGCACAACUGAUUGGUAUUUAUCUGUUUGGUUUGUUGCACCUUAUUUUGCAUCCUUCAAUUAGGCAAAAAGGUAUUUUACUGUAUAUCUUUUAAAAUAUGAUUUAAAUAUAUCGUUUUGGUAUUAAAAAUAUAAAUAAAGAUAGUGUCUUUCCAUUAAUUUCAUUAUCUUUGUUCAAAAUAAAGGAACAUUUAUAUAAGGCAAUGACAAUUCCCUAAAGAAUAAAAAUUCCUUCUUUGGGUAUGUCUUUAAACUCAUCCCUGGUCAAUGACAAGAAUAUAUCACAGGAAAAGAUGACAGAUUCAUUGCUAUGUAAGUGCAAAUAUACAGCACUGGCUUAGGGAGGGCUCAGAGGGUAGAAAAGGGGCAGCUACCACAGACUGGAAGCAGCAGGUGUGUCUACGCAGCGUGGAAACACCGGGUGAUCUGUUGCUGAAAUAACCAGCGCAAGGCCGCCCACCUGCUGUGACGAUAUUCCUUCUAUAAGCCUGGAAAUGUGGCUGGAAAGAGUGAGAGUCCUUGUGUGUGUGCAAACAUUGGCCAUUUCUAAAAGCACACUGCAAAAGAGAAAUGAACUCCAGCAAGGAUGGGGCAGAUUUCAUAAAGCAACGGAUAAGACUAAAGAGAGUGCGAAGAAUGGGACGGGCCCUCCUGGAUUCCAGACUGAAAGAAAUAAGUCUGUCAAGAUCUCUCUCAGUGAUAAAAGCCCAGCACCCAGCUAAAUAAAGCGACAGUUUUGCAGGGAUUAGAAGACAAAUAUGCUUCUGCACUGAUGGUGCUUGUAUCCUCAUGGGAGAGGCAAGCACAGUCAAGUAAACAGGUUGAUGCUAAGUAUUAGUGACUCAUCUUAAAUGGGCUACAGCCUGGGCAUCGUUGGACAGCUUCUCUAGACGUCUCUGAGCUAAGAGUAAAAAUGAGGACACACAUACAACGAGGUUAGAGAAACGUUUCCCUGGAAGAAAGAAAAUUAGGUGCGAAGGGAAAAGGGGCUGCAGUGGCCUGAGAGAAGUGAGAUGGGAUGGGAGGGUCGUGAGUCACACAUCACUGGGUGGCCCUGGCCGCCCAGGAACUUUACUUUGUGAUACAGAAAGAGCAGCACAUCCUAUACGAAGCAGAGGCAGCUCUGAGGUCUCAGAGGAGACACCCAAACACAGCCCCGGGAACCGGUCAGAACAGAAUUUGCACUCUCCAAAUGUAUUAAAAAAUAUUGACAGCAACAUACCCCGUACCUGGAACUUUGUUAUGACCAUUUCACAGGGACUCAGGGAAGAAGAGGUCAUUUUAUUUUUUUAAAUGAAAAAAAAUUUAUUUUAUAUUGGAGUAUAGUUGAUUUACAAUGUUGUGUUUUAGGUGUAUAGCAAAGUGAUUCAGUUAUACAUAUAGAUGCGUCUAUUCUUUUUCAAAUUCUUUUCCUAUGUAGGUUGUUACAUAAUAUUGAGCAGAGUUCCCUGUGCUGUACAGUAGGUCCUUGUUGUCUAUCUAUUUUAUGUACAGUAGGGUGUGUACGUUCAUCCUAACUUCCUAAUUUAGUCCUCUCUCAUCCCUUUUACCCUUUGGUAACCAUAAAUUUGUUUUCUGUGUCUGUGAGUCUGUUUCUGUUUUGUAAAUAAGUUCAACUGUAUCAUUUUUUAGAUCCCACGUAUAAGUGAAAUCGUGUGAUAUUUCUCUCUCUGUCUGACUGAGAUGUGACUUUACUUCCCGUGGAUCACGUCUGAGCAUGUGUCCCAGCCAGUCCCACGCGGCCUGAGUCAUAACGACUUUAUGUUCAGACUCAUCUGUAGAAACGGGCGAAGGAAACUCAACGCCGAACAUUGCUCAAGAGAAUCAAUAAGACAUUUGCUCUGUGGGUUUUCUGUGUCAGGACCAGGAGGUUCCCCGGCAGGAGGGCGGUGCAGGCGGCCGGGCGGGUUCCCCGCCUGGUGACAGCUUCCUCAUCCUCAGAUGCCCGCCAGACCUUUCCUCUGUGGAACCACAGGUGAUGCCAGGUCAUCCUCUGGAGACACACGGCUUCUCUUCCACGGCUGGCACUCUUAAUGCCACCUCUGCGUUGUGAUGUUGACAGAAUUGAAGACCUUUGCCUAGUAUUUAGGAUGUUAAUGGAGCCGUUCAUCUAACAAAGAGAAAUUACGUGUAGACACUUGAGUAUAUUUGAAGAAACCAAGCCAUGUCAAAUUGAGGGGAAAAUAUUCUUUUCCAAACAUCUUCUAAGCCUCUCAAAGUAAUCUAAAUCCUGAAAAAUAGAUUCGAUUCCUCCUUUGGAUUUUUUUGCCUGUGAAGGGAAAUUCUUGAAUUUGGAGAACAGUUUCCCAAUGAGAAGAAUAUACGGUCCUGACGCUUUACAGCGUUUAAUUUGUUAAACAAAUAUUUAUUAUGCAGCCCUCAUUUGGGAAAUAUUUGUUGUGGGAAUUUGGAUGAAUCACUUGGCGGCUCAGGUGUCAAGCUGUAUUUGUGUGUGGAGUUGUCACAGGAAGAGGUCAUCAUGGCCUUGACCUUCUCCACUUGGCCGCCAUGGGGCUCCGAGGAGCUAAGUUGCACCCAGCUCCCAUAAACUUGAACUCUUUUAUGAAUCAACACCUUCUUGAUGCAGAGUAUGAGAAACGAUUUUUCCUGUCUUCUCUAUAAAAAUAAAAUAUUUACAUUAA